CGGCAGGUAGGUUUCGGGGGCGUUCCGUAGUUGAGAGGCAGUUAUGACGGUGGCUUAGGAACAUUCUUUUGGCUCUCCUUUCAGGGGUCAGAGGGGAGCUCUCCCGGAGAGCUGGAUCCUGCCUUUGCGCUGAGGAGGCCUCAUUCCCGAGAUAACGCCUAACCCGGAAAAGCCCCAGUCAAGUGCCUGCUCGCUCUGGAGGCCUGGCGACAGCACCGGCUGCUUGAACUUCUGGAAGACCGCCUUGUAGCCACCAAAGAGUUGUAAGAAGUUGGACGUAGAAGUGCUUCCAUGAUUGACUUCCUGUAUAAAUCUGUAGUUUCCUGAUUCUGCUUCAUAUCCUAUAAUCAUGGACUUGUUUAUAUGACCUUCAAGCCCAUAACAAAUCAAGUGGCCAAUUUUCUCAGUAAGUACUUUUCUUUUCCACAGUACAUAGAGGUUUA
Molecule: long non-coding RNA, 443 nt
Organism: Ailuropoda melanoleuca (giant panda)
Lineage: Eukaryota; Metazoa; Chordata; Mammalia; Carnivora; Ursidae
Exons: 3
Source: RefSeq, a predicted model, not a curated record